GGGCCCAUAGCUCAGCGGAAGAGCAGGAGACUCAUAAUCUCUUGGUCGAAGGUUCGAACCCUCCUGGGCCCA
Molecule: transfer RNA, 72 nt
Filed under: Candidatus Omnitrophota bacterium
Lineage: Bacteria; Pseudomonadati; Candidatus Omnitrophota
Description: tRNA-Ile
Rfam family: tRNA
About the family: Transfer RNA (tRNA) molecules are approximately 80 nucleotides in length. Their secondary structure includes four short double-helical elements and three loops (D, anti-codon, and T loops).
Source: RNAcentral